This 253-nucleotide ribosomal RNA is filed under the name uncultured bacterium. RNAcentral describes it as "partial 16S ribosomal RNA". It matches the Rfam family "Bacterial small subunit ribosomal RNA", at positions 524 to 776 of the family's 1533-position model. The record is from RNAcentral.
UACGGAGGUGGCAAGCGUUGUUCGGAAUUACUGGGCGUAAAGGGCGCGUAGGCGGCUAGGCAAGUCAGAUGUGAAAGCCCCGGGCUUAACUCGGGAAUUGCAUCUGAAACUGCUGGGCUUGAGUUCUGGAGGGGGUAGUGGAAUUCCCAGUGUAGAGGUGAAAUUCGUAGAUAUCGGGAGGAACACCGGUGGCGAAGGCGGCGACCUGGGUCGACACUGACGCUGAGGCGCGAAAGCGUGGGGAGCAAACAGG